This 252-nucleotide ribosomal RNA is filed under the name uncultured bacterium. Its description in RNAcentral is "partial 16S ribosomal RNA". It matches the Rfam family "Bacterial small subunit ribosomal RNA", at positions 524 to 776 of the family's 1533-position model. The record is from RNAcentral.
UACGUAGGGUGCAAGCGUUGUCCGGAAUUAUUGGGCGUAAGAGCUCGUAGGCUGUCUGUCGCGUCGGCUGUGAAAACCCGGGGCUCAACCCCGGGCCUGCAGUCGAUACGGGCAGACUAGAGUGUGGUAGGGGAGACUGGAAUUCCUGGUGUAGCGGUGAAAUGCGCAGAUAUCAUUUGGAACGCCAAUGGUGAAAACAGGUAGCUGGGAGUGUGCUGACGCUGAGACACGAAAGCCAGGGGAGCGAACGGG